GGGACACGUGGUAUCCUGUCUGAAUAUGGGGGGACCAUCCUCCAAGGCUAAAUACUCCUGACUGACCGAUAGUGAACCAGUACCGUGAGGGAAAGGCGAAAAGAACCCCGGCGAGGGGAGUGAAAAAGAACCUGAAACCGUGUACGUACAAGCAGUGGGAGCACGCUUAGGCGUGUGACUGCGUACCUUUUGUAUAAUGGGUCAGCGACUUAUAUUCUGUAGCAAGGUUAACCGAAUAGGGGAGCCGAAGGGAAACCGAGUCUUAACUGGGCGUUAAGUUGCAGGGUAUAGACCCGAAACCCGGUGAUCUAGCCAUGGGCAGGUUGAAGGUUGGGUAACACUAACUGGAGGACCGAACCGACUAAUGUUGAAAAAUUAGCGGAUGACUUGUGGCUGGGGGUGAAAGGCCAAUCAAACCGGGAGAUAGCUGGUUCUCCCCGAA
This 442-nucleotide ribosomal RNA is filed under the name Escherichia coli. Its description in RNAcentral is "partial 23S ribosomal RNA". It matches the Rfam family "Bacterial large subunit ribosomal RNA", at positions 419 to 863 of the family's 2925-position model. Lineage: Bacteria; Pseudomonadati; Pseudomonadota; Gammaproteobacteria; Enterobacterales; Enterobacteriaceae. The record is from RNAcentral.